UGCUAAGCUAGAAAAGACAAAUAAUUAAACCAUUAAAUCGAUAAUUAAUCUAAAAAAUUCUUGAAUAAUCACAAUCAUAAGACAAUAUCGACAAAUAUCCUAAAAAAAAUAAUUUUUCUAAAUCACAUUCAUUCUUUGAGUCACUACGGCAAAUAGCUAUUCUAGCAAAUGUGGCUAAUGGAUUUCGAUUCCACUCAUGCCAAACCCUAUAGCUAGCCAUAGAAAUCUGAUCAAUCCCUUUUUAAAGCUAUUGUAUUAAGAUGAGAUAAGAACAAAACAACCUUUUGUAGAUGCAUCUGAGCUUUGAUUCCUUAAAAGAAUUUGAAGUUAAAACACAAAAAAAAUGCGUACUAGACCUCAGCGGAAACUCUACCACACGACCUCGAACUCGGCUACAACGGACACCUCGAAUCGAUUCAUUGACUCUGAACUGGGAUGCUCGAGUUCAAAACGAAAUCAAGCUGCUUGCCUCCCUGAAUUCCGAUUGAGGAUGAACUGAAGCUUUGUGUAAGAAGUAGUUCCGAAAUUCAGAGAAUAAAAUGGUAACUGAUAGGUUAUGGGGGUUAAUUUCGCCGGCUUUAGUUGAAUCUCGUCGGCGAUGGAGAUGCGACCAGACAAAUGAGGGAGACAGAGGAAUUUGAAGAUGAAGGAGGCAGCUAUGUUUUAUUUUUCCGCCUCGUGCCGGUGCGCAUGUUUGUGAUGGAGCAGAAAGGGCCGGUUUAGAUGGGGAAGGUCGUGAGUGAGGUGGUUUCUGGCGUGAUCGAAGAAGGGGGUGGUGUGAAUGAGAUGAGUUUCAAGGGGGUAAGGUCUUGUUAAAAGCUGCGCCCGUCCAUCCUUUUUUAGUCACCUCCUCUUUUUCAUAUAUCUAUAGGUCGAGGUUUUUUGUAAUAAAGAUAAGGGUAAAGGGAAUGGGCUUGAGUUGUG
This 924-nucleotide long non-coding RNA is filed under the name Nicotiana benthamiana. Its description in RNAcentral is "long non-coding RNA (NBEN_LNC014792)". The record is from RNAcentral. Lineage: Eukaryota; Viridiplantae; Streptophyta; Magnoliopsida; Solanales; Solanaceae.